GAUGAACGCUGGCGGCGUGCCUAAUACAUGCAAGUCGUACGGAAAGGCCCUUCGGGGUACUCGAGUGGCGGACGGCUGAGUAACGCGUGGGAACGUGCCCCAAAGUGAGGGAUAACGCACCGAAAGGUGUGCUAAUACCGCAUAUGGUCUUCGGAUUAAAGCUUCGGCGCUUUGGGAGCGGCCCGCGUACGAUUAGAUAGUUGGUGAGGUAAUGGCUCACCAAGUCGACGAUCGUUAGCUGGUCUGAGAGGAUGAUCAGCCAGACUGGGACUGAGACACGGCCCAGACUCCUACGGGAGGCAGCAGUAAGGAAUCUUCCCCAAUGGGGGCAACCCUGAUGGAGCGACGCCGCGUGCAGGAUGAAGGUUUUCGGAUCGUAAACUGCUUUUAUAAGUGAAGAAUAUGACGGUAACUUAUGAAUAAGGAUCGGCUAACUACGUGCCAGCAGCCGCCGUAA
RNAcentral lists this ribosomal RNA (457 nucleotides) under uncultured bacterium. Its description in RNAcentral is "partial 16S ribosomal RNA". It matches the Rfam family "Bacterial small subunit ribosomal RNA", at positions 28 to 523 of the family's 1533-position model. The record is from RNAcentral.